CAGUGGGCGGUCUCUAACAAAGAUGAAAGGCCUUUUUCUAUUGGUCACCCUCGAUUGAAGUGACCGGUUGGCCACGCCCAUUACAGUUUCCCGCCGCUGCUUCUGCUGCCAUCAUCGUCGCCAGUCUGUCAUUCAGUCUGCGAGAAAAGCGAGCGAUAUUUUAGAAUGGCGAGCAACAGGUCGUUUACUGGGUAAGACAAUUUAAUAUCAUAAACAGUGACAAGUGAACUGAAUGUUUCUCUCUUCUUAUGCUGUCCCAUUUAAAUACGUUGCGUCGGAUAGACCAGCCUGUAGUUAACGUUAGUGUUACCGCUGACCAGAUUGUAUUAGCCAACAUCAAAUAGUACCGUUUGCCGUGUGAUUGAUUUCCAAUGUUGCUAUCUGAGCAGACAUAAGUUACAUAAUACAGACAUAAAUAACGUAACGUUAAGAGGCCACUAUUUUCGAUGUUCGUAUAGGUAGUUUCUGGAGUAAAUAUAUAGGCUAUAUAUUCUGUAUUUACACGACUUUGGCCAAUCAGCGUGCACUAAAGUCACUGGGUAACGUUAACUUAGUUCCUAUAACGUUAGUCCUGAUUUAGACCCGCCAUUAGUUCGAGGAACUAACGUUAUAAUAAGAUUCCUCCGGUGCACCAGUCCCUUAAAGUCAUAGGCACGUUAGUAGUUUCACCCAAAUAAUAGUUUAAAGUCAGUUAUUCAUCGUUUAUUUUGCUGUAGUGUGUGAGGCACAGUCGCCUCACAGCGAGAAGGUCAUGGUUUCAAGUCCCGCUUGCCCCGGCCUUUCUGUGUGGAGUUUGCAUGUUCUCCCCGUGUCCGCGUGGGUUCUCUCCGGGUACUCCGGUUUCCUCCCACCAUCCAAAGACAUGCAGGAUAGAUGAAUUGGUGUCUCCAAAUUUGCCCUAUAGGUGUGAAUGUGAGUGUGAGUGGUUGUAUGUCUAUGUGUGGCCCUGCGAUGGACUGGAGAACUGUCCAGGGUGUACCCUGCCUUGCGCCCGAUGUCUGCUGGGAUAGGCUCCAGCCCCCCGCGACCCUGUACAGGAUUAAGCGGUCGACGAUGGAUGGAUGUGUCAGAAUUGCGUCACCCUGGAGACGUUGACACAGUUCUUCUGGACUUAGUCUGCCUCAGUUUUUUCUGUUUCUUCAUGUAAUCCCAGAAAGACUCAAUGAUGGUGAAAUUUUAGAUUAUACCGGCUGUUGUCAGACUCACUGUGCAUAUAAAUUUCACUGGAUUAUUACUAUUAAUGGCUAAAUGCAUGUUUGGAAAUGUACACUGAUAUUUCCUUCUGACACACUACAGCAACAUUUUGUCAAAAACUAAGUAAUACAGUUAAAUAAACAUGCUUCUGAAUAUUAUAUAUUUGUUACAUCAGCUAAUUUUGUUUUGAAAUGUUGUUUCUCUUUGCAGGACCACACAAUGGCAGAUUUUGCAUAGGUCUGUGGAUAGACUUGGUUUAAUUGUUAAUAGGCAUCCCAUUGACUUCGAUCCACUUUGUUUGCUGUCAGGAGCUACAGUUUCUUCGAGCUGGAGCGUCAUAUAUAGACAUACCCCAGGGUGUGGUGGAUGCUCUAGAACAGUUAAAUAUAGUUAUCUCCAAUUACCUUUCACAGAGUAUUGUCCCUCCAUUGUUGGACAAUGUAGCUGUGGCUGAAUGGAGUGGAAGUGCGGGGCGUCCCAGAUUAAACAUACAAAGAGAAACACUCCAAAAUUUGCUCAGCAUGCACUUACCUCUAGCCUCUUUGGCUGAAGUGCAUGGCAUUUCAAGAUCAACCUUAUACAGGCGAAAGAGUCUGUCUGUCAGGAGCAACUAUUCUGAUAUUUCUGAUCAUGAGCUUGAUCAGAAAGUUAGAUCUAUAAAGGCAAGAACACCUCAUGCUGGAUACAGGCUGGUUAAAGGGUCUCUACAAGCAAUGGGACAUUGAGUUACAUGGAGAAGAGUAAAGAUGUCUUUGCAACGAGUAGAUGGUGCAGGGGUACUUUCAAGGAUGGUCCAGCUGUCAUGCGUUGCAAGACGAACAUACUCUGUUCCUGCUCCUUUGUCUCUUGUCCAUAUAGACACUAAUCACAAGCUGAUAAGGUACAACAUAGUGAUUUUUGGGGCUAUUGAUGGCUUUUCAAGGAAGGAAAUAACAAAGCCAAAAUAGCUUUUGGGUUUUUCAUGGAUGGAAUAGAAAAAAAUGGAUGGCCAUCAAGAGUACGAGCAGACCAAGGGGUGGAGAAUGUAGACAUUGCUCGGUGCAUGUUUACUGUGCGAGGAACUUGUCGUGGCAGCUUUAUUGCUGGAAAAAGUGUGCAUAACCAGAGAGUGGAACGGCUAUGGAGAGACGUUUGGACUGCUGUAACAUCAAGUUACUACAAUGUUCUCCACAGCUUGGAAGAGGAGGGAUUACUUGACCUGUCCAAUGCUGUUCACCUAUUCUGUGUGAGAUAUGUUUUCAUCCCCAGAAUACACACAGAUUUGCAGCAUUUCAUAGAGAUGUGGAACUGCAUCCCUUGCGAACGGAGGGAAAUUUGUCACCGAAUCAGCUGUGGAAUAUUGGAAUGUUGCAAGCACCCAUGUCAGAGCCUGAUCUUGCAGAGAUAUUGCAAGCUGAGGAACUAUUCUCCCAGAAUUCACAGUGUGUUGACUCUGAGCAUGGAGUCAUUGUCCCAGAGAUCCCUUGCCCUUUGUCACCUGAAGAUAUUGCUACUUUACAGAAUGAAGUGAACCCCAACGUUGAGUCCACUUGUUUUGGUUCUGACAUCUACUUACAAGCAUGUGCAUUAGCUGUAGAUUUAAUGUUAUAAAUAUAUAUUCUUUAAAGCGUAGACUACAGCAACAAAAAAAUAUAAAUCCGUGUAUAUGUAUGGAAAAAAGGCUGUCUGCUUUGUCGUAUAUGUAAUUGAUGAAGUGUUUUACCUUUGAAAACAUCAAAAACAAAUUCUGUUAUGCAAUAAGGAACUUAUUUUUUAUUAUAACCUCUUUGUUGCUCCUACAAGCAAUAGGCUGAUUUUUUUUAAUUCAUUUUUUAAGAAAUGCACACCAAACGAUUUAUUCUUCUAUUCACAUAUACACAUUGAUGAAUUAACAUAUACAGAAGUUCAAAAGUGCUACGUAGCACAACUAUGAACCUCAUUGGUUCUCACAUGUCAAGCGAACAUUUCUGAGUGGUUGAGUGUUUCCCACAACUGAUGUAUGAGUUGAUGAAUGAUUUUAUGUGAAUAAAAGACUUGAUUAAAUCUGUUCAUCACAAAGCAAUUGCCUCUUCAGAAAAUUUGAACUAAACUGCUCAAUUCAUAUGGAUUAGUUGUAUCUCUAUUAACUUUUUAAAAUGGUAGUUGUGUUGCUGUCAAUGGAGGGACAGAAAAAUUCUGAUUUCAAUAAAAACAUCUUCAUUUGUGUUCUGAAGAUGAACGAAAGUCUUACAGGUUUGAAACAUGAAGUUGGGUAAAUUAUGACAGAAUCUUUAUUUUUGGGUGAAUUAUCUUUAAAGGGACAUUACAAAGAGAAAGAAUAAAAGUGAACAUCUUAGUAAAUAAUGCUUUGAUAUUCAUGAAUCAAUGAACUGUGUUUUUUUUUUUUACGGUGAACAAUUCCAGGACAUUUUCUACACCCUGUCAAAUUGUAUUUGCAAUUGCGUUUUCAAUUUGUGGACGCAUAAAAUGUGACAUAAUCCAAACGCAAUUGCAAAUCGCGCAUUACCGUUUGCAUUUUCGUUUAAGCGAACGCACAGUGACUGCCAGAUUUCAAAUGGAAAAGCAAAGUCCGUUUGCAACUGUGUUUCCCAUAUCUUACGAGUUUUGGCCCUGUCAUAUUUAAAUAGCAAUUUCAAUUACCAUGUCUGCUUUUUCACUUUCUCAGCGUGGCGUAUGUAGCCAGCCAAAACUCAAAUGGAAUACUAAUUCCCUUAGUAUUUCCAUUGAUGCCUUACACGGAAACCUGUCAAUCAGGGUCAAGGGUGGGAUUAUGCUAUGGGGCGUGUUUGUCUUGGGAAGAGACCACUCACAGUCGACGGUCAAGAUCAAAUAAACCGGCGUCUGUUCAGGGCAUCACCUCUUUAUUUAUUUUGUAUUUAUUUUAAUGUUUAUUUGACAGGGACAAAUGCAUAGAACAUUGCUUUAUAAAGAAUACAAAGUAGAUGCCACGCAUACAUGUUUCUAGCCAUGACUAAUUUGCAACCCCUGUCCCUGGUUAGGCUUAUAAAUUUAAAACAAAAAUUACAGAGUAUUGAGUUUAAGAUUUAUAAUUAAUAAAAUACAUACAACAAAUACAUCCCAUAUAUGAAAUAAGAUAUGGGCUUAAGUAGAUGUGGAAGUCACUAUAAAACAAAGUCUAGACACAUUUAACAAUACAAGAACACAAAAGUGUGCAUAUGUCUGUGCGUGCUCACAUAUGCAACAUUAUGUUUGUAUGCAUUGUGUUAUGUCCUGUACAGUCAGUGUUCACAAAGUUGUUUCAGUUUCAGCCAUUGCUUUAAAUGUGUAUUAAAAACCUUGAAGACUGUCAAUGUUUUAAUUUCAGAUGCAUUCCACAAAUGUAUGCCUCUUACUGAAAAUGAUGUCUGACCACUGAUCUAUAUAUAUAACUGGAUAGCUCAUGACGUCACAACAGCGAAGCUACUGCGUCGCCAUCUUGGUAUUCCCUAACAUUCUGUACUCCUAUGUGUCUCAAUGGGAAAUCGUCUGUUUUGGUGAGUAAUUUGUACCCAUCCAGUCACAUUAAAACACAUUUCUUAUGUCUGCAUACACUGUAUCACAAUGCAAUCUUCCUAAAUAUGUAAUUCAUUAUUUAUUUUGACUUUAA
Molecule: RNA transcript, 4780 nt
Organism: Xyrauchen texanus (razorback sucker)
Lineage: Eukaryota; Metazoa; Chordata; Actinopteri; Cypriniformes; Catostomidae
Exons: 6
Source: RefSeq, a predicted model, not a curated record